UAGCGCGGUGGUCCCACCUGACCCCAUGCCGAACUCAGAAGUGAAACGCCGUAGCGCCGAUGGUAGUGUGGGGUCUCCCCAUGUGAGAGUAGGGAAUCGCCAGGC
RNAcentral lists this ribosomal RNA (105 nucleotides) under Klebsiella pneumoniae. RNAcentral also lists the same sequence under 1 other name. Lineage: Bacteria; Pseudomonadati; Pseudomonadota; Gammaproteobacteria; Enterobacterales; Enterobacteriaceae. The record is from RNAcentral.